RNAcentral lists this long non-coding RNA (17050 nucleotides) under Cicer arietinum (chickpea). RNAcentral describes it as "long non-coding RNA (CARI_LNC000788)". Lineage: Eukaryota; Viridiplantae; Streptophyta; Magnoliopsida; Fabales; Fabaceae. The record is from RNAcentral.
AAAAAGAUAUACAAGCGUGACGAAACUGAAAAACAGAUUUAGCUUCUUUAUUCAAGUUCGAUGAAUCUGUUGUCGCCGAAUCAAUGAAUCAUCAAUCCAAAUUCGAUUUCUCGCCGCUGCUACAUGUUUUCAUCUGAAUUCGAGAUUCGAUGAAUCUGUAGUCUCUUUUUCUGAAUUCAAGAUUCGCAUUCAGGUUUCAAUCUUUCUAAUUUUUGAAUUGAAUUCUUUAUAGUUGUUUCCACUCGUGGCAUCUUCGUGUUUGACAUCAAUGUUUUGAGGCAUCUUUUUUUCUGUUUCGUUUGCGACGGUGACAUCCCGUUCUUGAACGUUCAACUCCAUGAAUCUUGAAUUUUUAAACCCUAGAAAUCUGAUUUAAAUUGGUGCCGAAAAAGACGACCAGUGAGUCGCAAGCUUGGUUAUUCGGAUUUAAGUUUAUGCUAUCCAUGGAAUUGGAAUUUGCCUCGAUUCGAAAGAGAGAUGUAGGUAUGAAGAUUCUUGAUUGGACCUUCAAUUAAUCUGCCGCCCUCUCAAGUUUUGCAUUGCAUCUCUUCUGAAUUUGAUAUCUUUAUUCACCUGUUCAUCUCUCUCUCUCUUUCCAUUUUCAAUCCACUCUCCUUUGGAUUAUCGAUCUAUCAGUUUUUUUCUUUUGUUGGGCAAACAUUAUCCAUCUCCAAAACCAUGUUCGACAUGAAUGUUUUGAGGUAGUUUUUUUGUUUGCAGCAUUAAUGUAAUAUUAUCAAUUGUCAAGAAUGUAUCAUCUUGAUGAUUCUUGAUUAUUCAUAUCUAAGAAAGUUGAUAAAAAAUGAAUAGAUUAAAUAUGCAUCCUUAAGACAAGUCGCAAUGAUAGAUAGUUUAAAUUUUAAUUAUGAGAUGGAUUCUUGACUCUAAAUUUCUGAGGCUUGCCAUAUGAAUUUGAUAUAGUAUGUUUGGAUGAUUCUAAAUUUAAUCAAUAGAUGGACUUUUGACAAAAAAAUGUGAUUGCCUAGUUUUAAUCACGAGAUUGAUUAUUGAAUCAAAAUUUGGCUUGCAAUAUGAAUUUGGGAUAAUAUGCUUGGAUUACUCUAAAUUUAAUAAUAAGUUGGAUUCUUGACUCAAAAAUGUGGCUUCAAUAUGAAUUUUUAUUCAUAUGAAAUUGCGAUAAUAUGUUUGGAUGACCCUAAAGUUAAUCACGAGAUGAAUUAUUGACCCAAAGAUGUGGCUUACGAUAUGAAUUUUUAUUCAUAUGAAAUUGGGUUAGUAUGCUUGGAUGACCCUAAACUUAAUCAAGAGAUAAUAUGUUUGGAUGACCCUAAAGUUAAUCACGAGAUGAAUUCUUGACCCAAAGAUGUGGCUUACGAUAUGAAUUUUUAUUCAUAUGAAAUUCAGCUUGGAUGACCCUAAAUUUAAUCAAGAGAUAAAUUCUUGACUUAAAAAAUGUGGCUUGUAAUAUGAACUUUAUAUUCAUAUUAAAUUGGGAUAAUAUGUUUGGAAGACCCUAAAUUUAAUUACGAGAUGGAUUCUUGACCCAAUAAUGUGGCUUGCAAUAUGAAUUUCAUAUUGCUAUGAAAUUGAAAUGUAUGCUUUGAUGACUCUAUAGAUUUAAUCAUGAGAUGAACACUUGACUCAAAAUGUGGCUUGCAAUAUGAAUUUGGGAUAAUAUGUUUGAGUGACCCUAAAUUUAAUCACACGAUGGAUUCUUGAUUCCAAAAUGUGGUUAGCAAUAUGAAUUUUGUAUUCGUAUAGAAUUGGGAUAUAUGCUUGGACGACCCUACAUUUUAUCACGAAAUGAAUUCUUGACUCAAAGUUUGGUUGCAAAUUGAAUUUUUUUAUUCUUAUGAAAUUGGGAUUGUAUGCUUGGAUGACACUUAAAUUAAUCAUGCAAAUGAUUCUUGACCCAAAAUUUGGCUUGCAAUAUGAACAAUUUAGUCACAUCAUAUGAAAUUUGGAUAGUAUGGAUGUAAAUUUAUGGGCUAUAUAACUUCAGUAUGAAUAUUAUUUAUUCAUAACUUGAAAUGGCAUGUAUGUCAUGACGACCUUGAAUGGAAUGACAAUAGCAAGCUUGCCUUGGAUGAGAGUAUUGUGCCUUAAUGAUUUUGGACGUCAAAUUUGACAUUUGAGCUUAGAUGACCCUAAGUUUGACGAAUUGGGACGACAAUAUUGUGCCUCAAUGACUUAGAAUGCUAAAUUUGAUAUUUGAGACUCGUAGGCUGCCCUAAAUUUGGUAAAUCGGGAUGAUGAUAUUGUGCUUUGAUCACCUUAGAUGUGAAAUUUGAUAUUGAGGUGAUGGUAUUGUGGCUUGCAAUAUGAAUUUCAAAGCAUACAUUUUAAUUUCAUAGCAAUAUGAAUUCUUGACCAAAAGAUGUGGCUUACGAUAUGAAUUUUUAUUCAUAUGAAAUUGGGAUAGUAUGCUUGGAUGACCCUAAAUUUAAUCACGAGAUAAAUACAUGACCUAAAAAAUGUGGCUUGUAAUAUGAAUUUUAUAUUCAUAUGAAAUUGGGAUAAUAUAUUUGGAUGACCCAAAAUUUAAUUACAAGAUGUAUUCUUGAUCCAAUAAUGUGGCUUGCUAUAUGAAUUUCGUAUUGCUAUGAAAUUAAAAUGUAUGCUUUGAUAACUCUAAAUUUAAUCAUGAGAUAGACACUUGACCCAAAAUGUGGCUUGCAAUAUGAAUUUGAGAUAAUAUGUUUGAGUGACCCUAAAUUUAAUCACAUGAUGGAUUAUGGAUUCCAAAAUGUGGUUUGCAAUAUGAAUUUUGUAUUCGUAAGGAAUUGGGAUAUAUGCUUGGAUGAUCCUACAUUUUAUCAGGAGAUGAAUUCUUGACUCAAAGUUAGGUUGCAAUUUGAAUUUUUUUAUUCUUACGAAAUUGAGAUUGUAUGCUUGGAUGACGCUUAAAUUAAUCAUGCAAAUGAUUCUUGACCAAAAACUUGGCUUGCAAUAUGAACCAUUUAGUCAUAUCAUAUGAAAUUUGGAUAGUAUGGAUGUAAAUUGAUGGGCUAUAUAACUUCAGUAUGAAUAUUAUUUAUUCAUAACUUGAAAUGACAUGUAUGUCAUGACGACCCUAAAUUGAAUGACGAUAGCAAGCUUGCCUUGGAUGAGAGUAUUGUGCCUUAAUGAUUUUGGACGUCAAAUUUGACAUUUGAGCUUAGAUGACCCUAAAUUUGACGAAUUGGGACGACAAUAUUGUGCCUCAAUGGCUUAGAAUGCUAAAUUUGAUAUUUGAGACUCGUAGACUGCCCUAAAUUUGAUAAACCGGGAUGAUGAUAUUGUGCUUCGAUCACCUUAGACGUGAAAUUUGAUACUGAGAUGAUGGUAUUGUGCCUUGGAUGCAAAAUUUGAUAAUUGAAUGCUUGAUGAUCUUAAAUUUGAUAAAUUUAGAUGAUGUAUAUUGCCUCAAUAAGUUGGAAGCAAACUUUCAUAUUAGAGCAUAGACGACCCUAAAUUCGAUAAAUUGGAAUGAUGGUGUUGCGUUUUGAUAACAUUGAUAUUUUAGCCUAGAUGGUUCUAAAUUCGAUAAAUUAUAAUAACAAUGUUGUGCCUCAAUGACCGGAUACAAAAUUGAUUUGAGCCUAGAUGGUCUUAAAUUCAAUAAAUUGGAAUGAUAAUAAAUUGUCUUGAUAACGUUGGAUGCAAAAUUUGAUAUUUGAGAUUAGAUUGUCCUAAAUUUGUUAAAUUAGAAUGAAUGGUGUUGCUCCUUAAUGACAUUGGAUGCAAAAUAUGAUAUUUGAGUCUAGAUAAUCUAAAUUUGAUAAAUUAAGAUGAUGGUCUAUGAUUUGAUAACCUUGGAUGCAAAUUUAACUUUUUGAGCCUAAAUGAUAUGAAAUGUGAUAAAUUGGUGCAACUCUUCAAGAGGAGGAGGAAUGGAGGAUUGGCUAAUAGAAGACUUUUUUGGGUUGUUCCUUCAUAACUAACAUAUGAUGAAUAUGGAAAUGAUUAUAUUGGGGAAUGAGUGUGGUUUUCAACUGUUAUUUUACAAUGGGAUAUUUAAAGGAACAACAUUAUAAUGCUCAUGAGAAUUUGAGAUUUUUAAGUUUCACGGCGCUUGCAUGGAAAUGGUGCUUUGCUCCUUGAUUUAUCGGUUGUUAUGGCAACUAAUGUUUCAUUUUCUCUGAUGAUUUGCAAGUGACUGGGUCUAAGGCUACACUGGUAGCUAGGGAGGCUAUUGGCCAGGGAAACAUCAUGGCUGCCAUUAAUCCUUUUGUCAAAACAUUGACCAAUUUCUUGAUAAUUAAUCUAUCUGAGGUUGCAGAAAAGAUGUCUAUCUUUUGUCAAAAGAUGUCUUUGGUUUUGCAAAGGGACAGGCCACUGAAAUUAAAACUCUUGGGUUCAAAUUGAAGUUUGGUUUUGGCUCACACGACAAGAGUCACACAACAGCGGUAAAUAAUGUGAAUGUUUUGUAAAAUACAUUUUUAAUUGCAUAAUUGAGUAUGCAGCAACAAGAAGAUCCAUUCAUGAUGAAGGCCAAUGAAGUAGUACUUACCUGCAGAACAAGUAAGUGUAUGAGCAUAAUAAUGAUUGUAUGGCUAAUCUCUUGGAUUGGAAGGGUCGCAAGAGGAAGAAGUUGUGUAGGAGGAACCAAAUUUUAUGAAGUAGCAACAACACCCUUCAUUUCUUCUUGGAGGGUUGGAAAGUGGCAGCAGCUAUUAAUGUGUAGAUUCCUUUUUCUUGCAUUGAGGACAAAACAGAAUUUUAAGGGGUGUCUUCUAGACCCAAUUGUCCAAGGCUCACUUAAAGUCACCCAUAAGAGAAGUUAGAGAAAGGGGAGAGUUAGUUACAAGGAGGAAAGUUUGUAAUAUAGAGGGAUAAUAGGAUAUUGGGGGCAUUCAGGAAAUUGUUAAGCAAAAUUGGUUAGGAGAGUUUAUCUCUUUGGUAGGAGGUGUUGACUUCGGUAGUUUUCUUCAUACAGAUUAUGGGUUCACCAUAAUGGUUAGUCCCACGUUGAGUCGUUGACUUUGAAUGAGUGGUGCCUGCUUUGGGCAAAGGAGCAAAACUUUGGCAAGUUAGUUAUUGAAACUGAUGCUUAGUUGUUUGUUAAGUGUCUCUAUGAACAUUCCAAGAUUGCUUUAAUUGACCCCAUUAUAGUUGACUGUAAAGAGACCCUGCUUCAGAUGGAAAACACCACAGUGAACAUCAUCAGAAGGUCUAGGAAUGGUGUAGCCGAUGGUCUUUUAGGAGUUGAUAAAAAUGCAGGAUCUAAGAAUUUGGGUUGGAAAUUUCUCAAACCUUGUUUACUAUUUGAAAGCCAAUUUUCUACAGUCAAAAAGAAAAAACCAAUCCACAAACAUGUUGUAAUGCUAGAGCAGUACCGAAAAGUACAUCCAAUAUCAAAGUUACAAUUGACGUAAAUCCUUUGAUUCACAAAUGAUUAUUGGCUGUUCCCAAUCCAGUUAUUACCUUAGCUCUAGAAACAAGCAACACCAAGUUGUAUGUAUAAGCAGUUGCUUCAUAAUUUCCAAGCAUAUUUUAAGGAGAUAGACUGUGCCUAAAUUGACGAUACCGCUGGUUUAUUUGAUGCCUACUCAGUCUGGCAAAUUUGUGAUCCAACUCAAGACAAUGUAAAAACAACACACUAGUUAGAGUGCACGAGUAACAACCCUUAUCUACCAUAGGCUUUACUACAUUUUUUAAUUUCUGAUCACAAAUUUAUAACUAGUAUUUUGAAAUACAAGAUAAUUAGACACAUGCUUUAUGGAGAAAAGUUUGCUUGCAUAAACUCUCUAAUACCUUAUUUUUAAGUUUCAAUAAAAGUUGUAGCUGAUUUGCUCUUCUGUUGAAUGCUAUCUUUGUGUGUUUGUUUUGAAGUGAAGAUUAUUUGCUACUAAAUUGUAGCUUAGUUGUUUCUGUGAUUCUAUGCAUGUCUUCAGUUAAAUGGUGAUUGUAACUAAUUUAUCAUAGAGAAUGACUACUGGUGAUUUUAGUUUCUAUGCUGGGAUACUAAUUUUUCAAUAUCUAAUUUGUAUAGCAAGUAGGGAUGGAGAUAAACCUGGAUGCAUUUUACAGUGACAAGAAAUUCGAGAUUUUCUUGCAGUAACGCGGUUUUGGACACAAAUACGAGAUUUUUUCAUGCUACUAUGAAGAGCUAUAUAAGAAGGAAUUAGAUAGAAACCUUUUACUAUAAUAAUUGGUGGAUUAUAGGGCUGAAUGAUGUUAAACAAGUGAUCAGACAGCAUUUUCAUUCAAUGUUCACUGAAGGUAUUCAUGAAAGACCGAAUGUGGAUGACUUGUUUAUUACUAAAAGUUGAUUUCGAGAAGGCUUGUGAUACGGUGAGUUGGGGUUUCUUAGAGUAUUUUCUUGGUAGAGUGGGUUUUUCAUCUUUAGAUCAAAUGGAUGCGAACAUGCAAUUUUCAUAGUUCGAUGUCAGAUUUUGGUGAAUGGAGCCCUACUUAUGACUUUCAAGUAGUGAAAGGUAGCAGCAAGGCAAUCCUCUAUCACCAUUCCUUUAUCUUAUUGUUGCCGAAGGGCUCACAGCCUUGGUGAACAAAGCGGUUGAAAUGAGAAGGUUAUCUGGAUUUCAAGUCUCAAAUGAUAUCCAUUUAGCAUUAUGCAAUUUGCCGACAACACUAUCCUAGUGGGUAAGGGCAGUUGGAGUAAUUUUCGAAGUUUGAUCACAAGUUUGAGGGGUUUUGAGCUUGGGUCAGGUUCUUGAUUUGGGCAGCUAAUACUUGGGGGAUAUGUAUGUGAAUCAGGAAAUAAUGGUAAUUUGUAAUUAUAUUUAUCGGAUUUUCAAAAAUAAGUUAGACAAAUCAUGAUUUGAUUUGAUCUCCUUAAUUUGUAAUUAUGAGAUAUAAAUGUGGUAACGAUUCUAUAUACGGAGAAAUAUCAAAGCAAGAGGGACAUCAAACUCUAAUUUGUGACGUGGUAUCAGGAGGUUCGAUCAAACCUGUGAGCUCUUAGUUAAUCUCGGCUUUAUUCAGCGACACCCCACUGGGUCGCUCUUGAAAUCGUUCCUUUCGUUCUUGGUCCUUGCUUGUUUCGUGAUUACGUUGCGAACUCUCAAUCAUAGUUGCAUGCGGUUGCUUGUUCGACUCUUGGUUUCAUCUUCGCGAUUCGUUAUUGUCUUUUACAAUUUUUCGGUGUUGAGAUUGUGCUUCUGGGUUGUUUCUCGCUGCUGCUCGAUCGUGAUUCAGGAUUUGUUGAUCGUCAUUCUUGCUCGUUAUUGCUUCUCGCUGCUGCUGCUCACUUGCUUGAUCGUGGUCUUCGUCAAUUUCGUGCCUGAUCGUGAAAAUGGUCAUUAUGUUGAGUGAUUUUUUUUGCUUACAACCUAUUCUUUUGCUCACGGCCUGGUUCAAUUUUGCUGGGUAUUCUUUUUGGCAUAAUUCAAUUUUGUUGGGCAUUUCUAUUUGCUGCACAUUACUCAUUUUACUGGGUAUUUCUAUUUGUUGGGUAUUUCUUUUUUGGCCUAAUUCAAUUUUGCCGGUAUUUUUUUGGCCUAAUUCAAUUUUGUUGGUUAUUUCCUUUUGGCCUAAUUCAUGGCUUCUGAAAGAGACAAUUUUUGUGUCCGUUUUACCAGCAAAAAUUAUGCUGCUUGGGAAUUUCAAUUCAAAAUGUAUGUUAAAGGAAAGGGAUUAUGGAGUCACCUUAAUGGGGUUUCUAAGGCACCGACAGAGAAAGUUGUCUUAGAUGCGUGAGACAUCAAAGAUGCUCAUAUUAUUUAUUGGAUUCUCAAUACUAUUGAUCCUCAUAUGAUCAAUAAUUUGCGCUCUUUUUUAACUGCUCAAGAAAUGUGGAACUAUUUGAAGCGUAUUUACAACCAAGACAAUACGGCCAAACGUUUUUAGUUGGAGCUAGAGAUAACCAAUUACAAACAAGGUAAUUUGUCAAUUCAAGAUUAUUAUUCUGAAUUUUUGAAUUUGUGGACAAAACACUAUGCUAUUCUAUUUGCUACCGUUCCCAAGACUUCUCUUGCGGAUGUCCAAGCUGUCUACAACACUAGUAAGCAGGAUCAAUUUCUCAUGAAACUUCGUCCGGAAUUUGAGGUUGUUAGAGGUGCUUUGCUGAACAGAAAUCUUGUUCCAUCUUUGAAUACAUGUGUUGGUGAACUUCUCAGAGAGGACCAACGUCUCCUUAUUCAAGGAACCAUGUCUCAUGAUGUUGUCACUUCUGAACCUGUUGUGUAUGCUGCUCAGAGCCGAGGUAAAGGUCGUGAUAUGCGACAAGUCCAAUGUUUCUCGUGUAAACAGUUUGGACAUGUCGCUCGUAGUUGCAAUAAGAAGUUUUGUAAUUAUUGCAAGCAGCAAGGUCAUAUUAUCGCUGAUUGUCCCACGCGCCCUCCACGGCCAACACAACAUUCCGUGCAGGCACUCCAUGCCACUACGAGCUCCGCAGUUGGUCCUUCCAUUUCUAGUGCCUCUAAUGGUGAUGCUCUACAGCCUGAAAUGAUUCAACAAAUGGUACUUUCUGCUCUUUCAGCCUUGGGAAUUCAGAGUAAGUCUUCUAAUAUUUCGAAUCCAUGGUUUCUUGAUUCUUGUGCAUCCAAUCACAUGACGGGCUCCACAGUUAUUGAUCUUGACUCGCCUUUCUUUUGUCUUUUUAAAAUUCAGCCUGAUUAUAGUGAUUUACAUACUUUUGGAUGUGUGUGUUUUGUUCACCUACCUCCCUUUGAAAGACAUAAGCUUGGAACGCAGUCUGUUCAAUGCGCAUUUAUGGGAUAUAGUCACUCUCAUAAGGGUUAUGAUGUUUCUAAGUUUAGGGUCUUCUAAUGUUUCCAACUUUUCUAUUAUGCCUCAAUCUAUAGAACAUUUUAAACCAGGAAAUGUGUAUGUUAGAAAACACAAACAGCAGGUUAUAAUCCCCCUUCUCGACCCUGAUCCGCCACCUGAUCCUGUAGCGGUUGCACCACGACGUUCUGGUAGAGCGUCUUGUGCACAUAAUAGAUAUUCACCAGACAUGUAUAAUUCCUCACAUACCUCUUUGUCUGCAUCUCUUUCUAGUAUAUCUAUUCCUACUUGUUACUCACAAGCUGUUAAAGAUGUGCGCUGGAUAAUAACAAUGAAUGAGGAACUUCAGGCUCUUCAAGAGAAUUUCACAUGGGAUAUUGUCUCUUGUCCUCCUCAUAUCAAACCCAUAGGCUGCAAAUGGGUGUAUUCUAUUAAAUUAAAUUCUGAUGGGUCCCUGAAUCGGUACAAAGCUCGAUUGGUUGCUUUAGGAAACAAACAGAAAUAUGGAAUUGAUUAUGAUGAGACAUUUGCACCAGUAGCCAAAAUGACAACUGUUCGCACUGUACUCUCUAUAGCUGCUUCUAAUGGGUGGACUCUUCAUCAAAUGGACGUGAAGAAUACAUUUCUUCACAGUGAUAUCACUGAAGAUAUUUAUAUGACUCCUCCUCAAGGUCUUUUUUCUUCAUCUCAUGGUGUGUACAAGAUCAAACGCUCUUUAUAUGGUUUGAAACAAGCACCUCGAGCAUGGUAUGAGAAAUUUCGUUCCACUCUACUUGGUUUCUCUUUCACUCAAAGUCAACAUGACUCCUCUUUAUUUAUUCAUCGCACAUCUACCGACAUUGUUCUAUUCCUCCUUUAUGUUGAUGAUAUGGUCAUUACUGGAUCUGAUCAGACAUCCAUCCGGGAACUUAAACAUCAAUUGCAAACUGCAUUUCAUAUGAAAGAUCUUGGUAACUUGCAGUAUUUCCUUGGCCUUGAGGCCCAUUCUACCCCCAAGGGUAUAUUUCUUCAUCAACAUAAGUAUGCGACAUACCUUAUUUCUAUGACAGUCCUCCAAUCAGCUAAUCUGGUAGAUACUCCUCUUCAGGUUAAUGUGAAAUAUCACCGAGAUGAGGGUGAUCUAUUGCCAAAUCCUUUAUUGUAUCGACAACUUGUGGGUAGUCUUAAUUAUUUGACAAUUACCUGACCUGACAUAUCAUUUGCUGUUCAACAAGUAAGUCAGUUCAUGCACUCUCCUCGCAACCUUCACUUGGCCGCAGUUCGUCGCAUAAUUCGUUAUUUGCUAGGUAGCUCUCAACGGGGUCUCUUCUUUCCCAUGGGCACAAUUCCCAAAUUGAUUGCCUAUAGUGAUGCUGAUUGGGCUGAGUGUCCCAACACUCGGCGAUCUGUCACCGGUUGGUGCAUGUUUCUCGGUUCUUCACUGAUAUCAUGGAAAAGUAAGAAACAAACACGAGUCUCUAAAUCAUCUACUGAAUCAGAGUAUCGUGCUAUGUAUACUGCUUGUUCUGAGCUAAUUUGACUUCGUGGUCUUUUAGCUGAACUUGGAUUCCCUCAAACAGAGCCGGCGUCUCUCUAUGCUGACAAUACAAGUGCUAUUCAAAUUGUUGUAAAUCCUGUUUUUCAUGAGCGCACCAAACAUAUUGAAGUAUAUUGUCACUCUAUCUGUGAGGCCUAUGACAAUCAGAUUAUAUCCAUCCCUCACAUCAAUACUCAGUUUCAAGUUGCAGACAUUCUUACCAAAGAUGUUCCUCUCCCGCGCCAUCAGUUUCUAGUUAGCAAAUUGAUGCUCCUUGACCAGCCGCAUCAAUUUGAGGGGGGUGUGAAUCAGGAAAUAAUGUUAAUUUGUAAUUAUAUUUAUCAAAUUUCUAAAAAUAAGUUAGACAAAUCAGGAUUUAAUUUGAUCUCCUUAAUUUGUAAUUAUGAGAUGUAAAUAUGGUAACGAUUAUAUAUACGGAGAAAUAUCAAAGCAAGAGGGACAUCAAACCCUAAUUUGUGACAAUAUAUGGUUGUUAAGGAACGAUAUACUUGGGAGAUAAACCUGGAAGCUGGUAAUCCUCACAUAUAGUUGUUUGACGUUAACUCUAGUAGUCCUCAAAUGAUAUUAUAUCUUUUUAACUGAAACACACCUCAAAAAAUUGUUUCUAUUCUUGUUACAAAUGAUUUGUGUUCUUGAUUGUGUGACAGGUAAUAUAUCUAUUUCCUGUUCUAUUAUUUAUUUAUUUGAAUCAAAGGUAACAUCUAUUUGCUACGUUUUGGUGUUGUACAGGGUGAAGCAAAUCUAUUUCCUUUUGUAUGAGUUUGUUUGGUGUUGGGGUAAUGAGGUGGUGAUAAUUUUGUUGAAAUUCCAUAAUAUGGAUCUGUUCAAUUUCUUUUUAUACAACUGAUAUAAUGUGGUCCAGUUUUUGUUCAUUUUCAAUUAUGACAGGAUGUUUUCGUUACUGAAAAAAUGUGCUAUGUUAGAUUUAUCUCCUUUCUCUGCUGAGCUGUGCCAACUGGUUUGAUGGUUUGGGGGACCUUUCUUAACUCUACAACAUGCGGUGAGAAAGUGGUUCUUUGAUUUUUAGCUUUCAUGCUUGUUUGCUUAUUAAAUUACAACGUUUAGAAAAAAAGAGAUAAAACAAUAUAUCAUAAAUUUGAUUUCUUUGUGACUUUAGGAAAAUGAUAUUGGCAAGCAAUGGAUGCUGUAUUACUUUUCAGUAAGAUCAGGUUAGGCCCAACACGGUUAGAUGUCUAAGACAAAUAUUACAAGGAGACUUUUUUAAAUAAAUAAAAAAUAACACAAUGCUUAAUAAAAGAAAUCAAGUUUUGCUCCAUUCACGUUCGAACCAGGUUAGAAUGAAUAUGCAACCCUUAUUUUGACUAACUAAGAUAGGUGAAUUUCUCUAACUAAUUUAUAAUAUUAUAGAUUCAUAACUAAAUUGAAUUUUUUUAAUCCAAAAUUUUGAAGACUAAAACUCUAAUUUUUUCUGUUUGGCCCUUGUGCCGCCUUUGAGCAGAAGAACAUACCAAGUUGGGUGAGGUUAUGGUUAUUUGAAAUUUGUGUGAUGAUUAUUAGUAGGAGGAAGUGAAACCUUGUGCCGCCUCUAGAGGUUUUCACAACACAUGAUAAAAUUAUUUCAAGUAUAUCAUGUGCAUCAUCACUUCACUUAAAUAAAAAUAUCUGCAUGGCGACCAUGGGUGAAUACAUGAUGAAUAAUUUUUUUAUUUCUUUGAUUUGAUUACAUAUACUUUUCUUUUUUGAGUCUUGACCAUGCAGUGUUUUUUUUUUUAAUAGUUCAAGACCAUGCAAUUUAUUUUGACAAUAAUAAAUUACACAGGGGUGUGUAUAUCAUUAAUUAAAAACCAACUUUCCAUUUGAUAUUUACUUUUUUCAUAUGAAUUAAAUUUUUAUCAACCAAAUCAAAUAAAAUCCUCUAUCCUAUUUAGUUUAUACUUAUAGUUAUUGUAUCAUUUUAUAAUCACUUCUUCUCAUUUUCUUUUCGACCAAACUAGAGAAAUAAAAGUUUACAUUCUUUUAUUUUACUUUCUCUCUACAAACAACAAAAAAAUAUCUCACUUUCUAUCAUCUUUAUUUUCUUUUACUUUAUUAUUUAUCUUUCUUUUUUGUUCCUUUUAUUUUUGUACCAAAUAAAUUAAAGCACUUAUAAAGGGGUGGUUCCUCUUCUAUCAUUGAGGUAUAAGAUAUGGCCACCCAAAAGAAUAGAUUACACCACACUCUUAUGUUAAUUAGUAGACAUAUUUCAAUAUUUUUUGCUCACCUUUAAUAAAUAUUAAAAAUUGUUUCUCUGUUUUACUUUAUAUCUGCGUUUAUAUAAAUUUUAGUUAUAUUUUAUAUAAAUAAAAGUUAUUAUAAACUUGUGGUUUAAAUAUACAAUUUGUUUUGCUUUUAAUCUCUAUUUUUUUCCGGCUUUUUAUCCAUGCAAACACAUCUCACUUUGUUUUUGUUUUUGUUUCUUAAUCUCUGCUGAAUAUGUUCAUAUUGAAAUUGGUUUGUAUAAUAUAUGUAAUAUUUAUUUUAGUCUUUUAUGUCACUCAUAUUAGAGAGAUUAAUAUCAAAUAUUUUUCAUAUUAUAGGUAUAAGUUUUAAAAUAAAUUUGUAUUUGCAAAGACUAUAAAGAUGAUAAAUUUGUAUUUGUUCGGCCCAUUUUUUCUUGAUAUUUUUUUAUUUUAAUUGAUAAAAAUUAAAACACAAAACACCUUCAAUUGUUGGAAUCAGGUUAGUUCUAAAAACAAUUUCUUUGUCAUAUUUUGAUGAUAAAAAAUGUACUUUGUGAGAAUAAUUUAUUAUACUAAUAAUUUUAUUGAGUGUGCAAUAAAUAAAACUAGGAAAUACAUGAAAUGAUUUAAGAGGAAGUGAAUAUGUCAAAGGAAAUUAUUUAAGAGGAAGUGAAGAUGUCAGAUGAAACGAAUGAUAUUAAAGAAAGCAGGCAUUAGAAUUAAGUAAAGUCAAAGGAAGUCAACACAACGUCCAAAUUAUGAUUAUUGCACAUGCUGAUGUGUGUGCGCAUCUGCCUCUGAAGCGUCUGUUCAAUGUGUCUUUGAAGCUUUUCGCGUCUCCCUCUGAAGACUAAAACAUGUCUAUAAAGCGCCUACUUCAGUAACUUUGAAGCUUCUAUUUGAGUUGUCUUUGAAGCUCAAGUUCCACUCACUCUAAACACUGCAACUUGCUCCAAGAUGCUACUAAAGCAGCAAUAUCAAUCACAAGGAAUGAAGGUUUGAAUUGUGACCCCUUUUAAAAAAAUUAAUUCUUAAACUUAAUUUAAAUUAACUCUAGAUCAAUCUUGAUUUCAAACAAAAAAUCCGAAAACGUUCUGGAUGAGUUAGAGAUAAAUUAAAUAGGUUAAUUUUAGGUAUUAUGUGAUUAGUGAAUGGAAAAUAAAUAAGGAUAAACAUAACAAGAUCAUACAAUUAUGUAUCAUGAUUCACCUAAGGUGGGUUACGUGCAGUUUUCACAAUCUGCGAGAUUUUUUACUAAUGUGCUUAACAUUAAAACGUUCUUGUUUUCACACUAUCUUUCUUGAUCACUCUUGAUCAGUUUCAGAAUCCACCUUUCAAUUUUGAAAGGAUUUUUACAAUGACCUUUCAGUCUAGAAAUAAUUUUCACAAAAUAUUUAAACUAUCUUAAGAGAUAGACUUGACUUAUAAAUGAUGUGUAUGAUAAAAUAAUUAAGGAUAAAAAACAUACUCAACACUUGUUUGAGAUUGAUUAUCAGCAAGAACUCAAUAAAGUGAUCCUUGAAUAUAAUGAGAGAGAGCUGAAGUUUUGCUUAAGAGAAAAACUUUAUUUCUUGAGUAUGAAUGUUUAAGUAUGGAAUGGUUAUUUUUAAAAUUCUCUCUUUUGUCUUCUCCUUGAUAUUCCUUUUACAAAUGUGAAGAGAAUUGAAGAGACUAAGUAUAGCCGUUACUGAACCUUUGCAAGUUGUUUGUUCAGAUUGAAGUCUAUUAAACACAUGUGCUAUUUGGUUCAGAAUAUUAUUUUAUAAAACCAAAAUGCUCUUGCUUCUGAGGUUUUUGGAGAACGUGAAUAAAUGAUCGAAUGAGUUGUGAAAUGUCAAUGACUCCAAGCUUGCAAUUUUUUUUGCAAAAGGAUGCAUCAACAAUGUAGUCAUGUCCUUGUUGUCUUGACUCACAACUCAUUAAUUUGAAGAUCAAUCUCGUCAUCGACCUAGAGGCUAUUUUGCUCAUUUAAGCCUUCAGCUCGAGUUCUGGGUUUGACUAUUGAUUUGAAUAGUCUUGAUACUCAAAAACACAAGUUAAAUAACAACAUAAUCAAAAUCAUGAUUAGUGAUUAAUUAAUUAUUUGUUUAUCCUCAAUACACUUGAUUUGAGAUUUUGCCUCAACAACUGCCUAUGAUAAGCAACAUGCUCUAAAGAUGCAACAAGGUGACAAUGUUCAUGCCACUAAUUCCAAGUCAUGCAGUUCCGCUUAUGACUACUUGAACCAAAAAACACAACAUCUAACUCCAAUGAUCAAGUUAUGUUAUGAUGAAGAAAGUCAAUGACUUUGAUGGAAAGUUAACACUCUGAUGGUGACUGAGCUGUUUCAUGAUUCUGAAGAACCAAUAACAUAUUCUGAAAAGUUCCCGCUGCUCUUAAACAUACGUUUAACACAAGAAUCAAGGUAAAUUAUUUUCAAGCACUAUUUGGACAUUCUUGCUCAAAAUCACUAUAGAAAUUUCAGUUAAAGAUUCAUUUUGAAGUUAUUCAAACUUCAAACAACAUAUUCCCAUACCAUAUCUAUAAAAGUUUAUUUUUUAUGAAGAUCUAUGUUGGUCUCACACAAGGAAGAUAUAUUCAGAAUUUGUUUGGGACAAUAUUAAAACUCUAAUUCAUGCUAUAUAAAGGGAUUCAUUCUGAAGAACAAAAACCACAACACAAUAACUCAUAAAAUUUUACAAAUGUAGAAAAUCAUUUGUGACGGUUCUUGAAUGUUCAAUUCCAUGAAUAUUGAAUUUUUAAACCCUAGAAAUCUCAUCCAUGAAUAUGGAUUAUGCAAACCCUCAAAAUCAGAUUUAAAUUGGUGUCGAAAAAGACGACCACAGAGUCACAAGCUUGGUUAUUCAAAUAUAAAUUUAUGUUAUCCAUGGAAUUUGCCUCGAUUCGAAAGAGAUAGAGAUGUAGGUAUAAAGCUUCUUGAUUGAAUUUUCAAUUAAUUUGUCGUCCUCUCAAGUUUUGCAGUGUAUUUCUUCUGAAUUUGAUAUCUUUAUUCACUUGUUCAUCUAUCACUUUUUCCAUUUUCAAUCGACUAUCCUUUGGAUUAUUGAUCCAUCAAUUCUUUUCUUCUAUUGCGCAAACAUUAUCCAUCUCCAAAACCAUGUUUGGCAUGAAUGUUUUGAGGAAGUUUUUUGUUUGCAACAUUAAUGUAAUAUUAUCGAUUAUCAAGAAUGUAUAAUCUUGACAAUUCUUAAUUAUACAUGUUUAAGAAAGUUGAUAAAAACUGAAAAGUUGCAAUAUGCAACCUUAAGACAAGUCAGUUGCUAUGAUUAGAUAAUACGAAUUUUUAUUAUGAGAUGGAAUCUUGAUCCUAAAUUUCUUAUGGCUUGCAAUAUGAAUUUUAUUCAUAUGAAAUUGAUAUAACAUGCUUGGAUAACCUUAAAUUUAAUAAAGAGAUUGAGAAAAAAAAUGUGAUUAUCUAAUUUUAUUCACGAGAAUGAUUAUGGAUCCAAAAUUUGGUUGGCAUUAUGAAUUUGGGAUAAUAUGCUUGGAUGACCCUAAAUUUAAUAAUAAGAUGGAUUUUUGACCUAAAAAUGUGACUUCAAUAUGAAUUUUUAUUCAUACGAAGUUGCAAUACUAUGUUUGAUGAUCUUAAAGUUAAUCAUGAGAUGAGUUCUUGACCCAAAGAUGUGGCUUGCGAUAUGAAUUUUUAUUCAUACGAAAUGAAGAUAGUAUACUUGGAUGACCCUAAAUUUAAUUACUAGAUGAAUUCUUGAACUACAAAAUGUGGCUUGUAAUAUGAAUUUUAUAUUCAUAUGAAAUUGGGAUAUUAUGUUUGGAUGACCCUAAAUUAAUCACGAGAUGAAUUUUUUUAUCCAAAAGUGUGGCUUGUAAUAUGAAUUUUAUAUUCAUAUGAAAUUGGGAUAGUAUGCUUGAAUGAUCCUAAAUUUAAUUACGAGAUGGAUUCUUGACCCAAUAAUGUGGCUUGCAAUAUGAUUUCAUAUUCGUAAGAAAUUGAGAUGUAUGCUUUGACGACUCUACAUUUAAUCACAAGAUAGAUAGUUGACCAAAAACGAGCUUGUAAUAUGAAUUUUUUUAUUCACAUGAAUUAGGACUAAUAUGUUUGGAUGACCCUAAAUUUAAUUACGAGAUGAGUUCUUGAUCCAAAAAUAUGGUUUGCAAUAUGAAUUUUGUAUUUGUAUGAAACUGGGAUGUAUGCUUGGAGAUCCUACAUUUUAUUACGAGAUGAAUUCUUGAAUCAAAGUUUGGUUUCAAUAUGAUUUCUUUUUAUUCUUAUGAAAUUAGGAUUAUAUGCUUGAAUGACCCUUAAAUUAAUCACGCGAAUGAUUUUUGACCUAAAAUUUGACUAGCAAUAUGAACCAAUUUAGUCAUAUGAAAUUGUGAUUGUAUGAAUGUAAAUUGAUGGGCUAUAUCACUUCUGUAUGAAUAUUAGGAUGACCUGAAUGGAAUGACAAUAACAAGCUUGCUUUGGAUGAGAGUAUUGUGUCUCGAUGAUUUUCGAUGACAAAUUUGAGGUUUGAGCUUAGAUACUCUAAAUUUGAUAAUUUGGAAUGACAAUAUUGUGCCUCAAUGAUCUAGAAUGUUAAAUUUGAUAUUUGAGACUCGUAGAUUGUCCUAAAUUCAAUAAACCCGAAUGAUAAUAUUGUGCUUUGAUCACCUUAGUCGUGAAAUUUGAUAUUGAGAUGACGAUAUUGUACCUUCGAUGGAAAAUUUAAUAAUUGAGUCUUAAUGAUCUUAAAUUCGA